RNAcentral lists this ribosomal RNA (216 nucleotides) under Glomeromycotina sp. Its description in RNAcentral is "partial small subunit ribosomal RNA". The stretch from base 54 to 216 matches the Rfam family "Eukaryotic small subunit ribosomal RNA", at positions 700 to 864 of the family's 1831-position model. Lineage: Eukaryota; Fungi; Glomeromycota. The record is from RNAcentral.
GGGUCAGUAGGUUGGUCGUGCCACCGGUACGUACUGGUCUCACUGACUCCUCCUUCCUGAAGAACCGUAAUGCCAUUAAUUUGGUGUUGCGGGGAAACAGGACUGUUACUUUGAAAAAAUUAGAGUGUUUAAAGCAAGCUAACGCUUGAAUACAUUAGCAUGGAAUAAUGAAAUAGGACGAUCGAUCCUAUUUUGUUGAUUUCUAGGAUUGACGUA